AGAACGAACGCUGGCGGCAUGCCUAAUACAUGCAAGUCGAACGAACUCUUCGGAGUUAGUGGCGCACGGGUGCGUAACGCGUGGGAAUCUGCCCUUGGGUUCGGAAUAACAGUUGGAAACGACUGCUAAUACCGGAUGAUGACGAAAGUCCAAAGAUUUAUCGCCCAGGGAUGAGCCCGCGUAGGAUUAGCUAGUUGGUGAGGUAAAGGCUCACCAAGGCGACGAUCCUUAGCUGGUCUGAGAGGAUGAUCAGCCACACUGGGACUGAGACACGGCCCAGACCUCCGUACGGGAGCAGCAGUAGGGAGUA
RNAcentral lists this ribosomal RNA (310 nucleotides) under uncultured soil bacterium. RNAcentral's name for it is "bacterial SSU rRNA". It matches the Rfam family "Bacterial small subunit ribosomal RNA", at positions 26 to 363 of the family's 1533-position model. The record is from RNAcentral.